Molecule: non-coding RNA, 148 nt
Filed under: Aquaspirillum sp.
Lineage: Bacteria; Pseudomonadati; Pseudomonadota; Betaproteobacteria; Neisseriales; Aquaspirillaceae
Also listed under: 1 other name
Description: FMN sequence
Rfam family: FMN riboswitch aptamer (RFN element)
About the family: The RFN element is a highly conserved domain that is found frequently in the 5'-untranslated regions of prokaryotic mRNAs that encode for flavin mononucleotide (FMN) biosynthesis and transport proteins. This element is a metabolite-dependent riboswitch that directly binds FMN in the absence of proteins.
Source: RNAcentral
CUGCGUCUUCGGGGCGGGGUGUAAUUCCCCACCGGCGGUAUGGCCUUCGGGCCGAGCCCGCGAGCGCUUUCGCCGCCUUGGCGAAAGGUCAGCAGAUCUGGUGCGAUGCCAGAGCCGACGGUGAUAGUCCGGAUGAAAGAAGAUGAUG